Molecule: ribosomal RNA, 455 nt
Filed under: Galerucinae sp. BMNH 835056
Lineage: Eukaryota; Metazoa; Arthropoda; Insecta; Coleoptera; Chrysomelidae
Description: partial 16S ribosomal RNA
Source: RNAcentral
UGUCUUAUUGAAUAUAAUAUAAAGUCUAGCCUGCCCACUGAAAAUUUAAAUGGCCGCGGUAUUUUGACCGUGCUAAGGUAGCAUAAUCAUUAGUUUUUUAAUUGAAAGCUGGAAUGAAGGGUUGGAUGAAAAAAAAGCUGUCUCUAUUAAAUUAGGAUUGAAUUUUAUUUUUAAGUUCAAAAGCUUAAAUAUUUUUAAAAGACGAGAAGACCCUUUAGAGUUUAAUAAAUUUUAAUUAUUUUUUUAUUUAGUAUUUAAUUUAAAGGAUAUUAAAAUUUAUUUAAUUGGGGUGAUUGAAAAAUUUAAUAAACUUUUUUUAUUAAUUAAUAUUUAUUUAUAAGUGAUUGAUCCAAUAUUAUUGAUUAUAAGAUAAAAUUACCUUAGGGAUAACAGCGUAAUUUUAUUAGAGAGUUCUUAUCGAUAAUAAAGAUUGCGACCUCGAUGUUGGAUUAAAA